CCUACGUGAGGCAGCAGUGAGGAAUAUUGGUCAAUGGGCGAGAGGCUGAACCAGCCACGUCGCGUGAAGGAUGACUGCCCUACGGGUUGUAAACUUCUUUUGUAGAGGAAUAAAGUGAGGCACGUGUCCCUUUUUGUCUGUACUUUAUGAAUAAGGAUCGGCUAACUCCGGGCCAGCAGCCGCGGUAAUACGGAGGAUCCGAGCGUUAUCCGGAUUUAUUGGGUUUAAAGGGAGCGUAGAUGGGUUGUUAAGUCAGGUGUGAAAUUUUGGGGCCCAACCCUCAAAUUGCAAUUGAUACUGGCAUUCUUGAGUGGAGGAGAGGUAGGCGGAAUUCGUGGUGUAGCGGUGAAAUGCGUAGAUAUCACGAAGAACUCCGAUUGCGAAGGCAGCGUACUAAA
RNAcentral lists this ribosomal RNA (398 nucleotides) under uncultured bacterium. RNAcentral describes it as "partial 16S ribosomal RNA". It matches the Rfam family "Bacterial small subunit ribosomal RNA", at positions 338 to 733 of the family's 1533-position model. The record is from RNAcentral.